GGUGAGUAACACGCGAGUAACCUGCCCUUGACUUUGGGAUAACUUCAGGAAACUGGGGCUAAUACCGGAUAGGAGCUCCUGCUGCAUGGUGGGGGUUGGAAAGUUUCGGCGGUUGGGGAUGGACUCGCGGCUUAUCAGCUUGUUGGUGGGGUAGUGGCUUACCAAGGCUUUGACGGGUAGCCGGCCUGAGAGGGUGACCGGCCACAUUGGGACUGAGAUACGGCCCAG
Molecule: ribosomal RNA, 228 nt
Filed under: uncultured Actinomycetales bacterium
Lineage: Bacteria; Bacillati; Actinomycetota; Actinomycetes; Actinomycetales
Description: partial 16S ribosomal RNA
Rfam family: Bacterial small subunit ribosomal RNA
Source: RNAcentral